Molecule: long non-coding RNA, 562 nt
Filed under: Vombatus ursinus (common wombat)
Lineage: Eukaryota; Metazoa; Chordata; Mammalia; Diprotodontia; Vombatidae
Description: lncRNA (ENSVURG00010005217.1)
Source: RNAcentral
GGAGGAGCCUAGCAGAGUUUCUUACACAGUAACACGCACUUAAUAAAUGUUCGUUGGAUGGGAAUGGCCCAGACACUCAGGAUCACACAUCAAGGCCUCUACAAACAAAACACGCUCAAUAAAUGUCAAUUACUGUGGAACCUUCAGCAAAUUACCUCACAUCUCAACCUGCUUCUUGAAAAUGGGGCAGGAGAAGCUUGGGUUCUGCCCAUAUCCAAACACUCCAAAGGGAAAGGACUGUAAUAGGAUGUCUAUAUUUAUUGACAGUGCUACCCAUCACCCAAUUGGAAAUCUAAGUAACUGAAGCCCCACUUGGUUAUCUGACCUGGAGCAGAGACCCUCUCAACUACAUCACAAACGAAUAGUCAUCCAACCUUUAUCUGAACUUCUCGAGUGAUAAUGAAUUCGCUAGGUGGAAAGAGCAAAAGGGCUUGGAUCAGAAGGGAUUGAGUUCAAAUCCAGCCUCAAACACUUAUUAGCAGUGUGACCCUAGGCACUUCACCUGUGUCUGCCUCAGUUUCCUCUACUGUAAAAUAAAGAUUAUGAUAGUACCUACUCUCCA